Mercenaria mercenaria is the source of this 494-nucleotide long non-coding RNA. RefSeq lists it as uncharacterized. The record is from RefSeq and is a predicted model, not a curated record. NCBI's taxonomy places the organism in Eukaryota, Metazoa, Mollusca, Bivalvia, Venerida, Veneridae. The transcript has 3 exons.
AGGACUAUUUCUGUCGGAGUAAUUCAAGAGCACAGGAAUACGCAUACAGAUUCUGGCUUUGGUGAAAGUAAAAUUCGAAGUAUCGGACGAGAAACUCGGAACUAUUCGAUGGGAAACUCAGGCUAUCAGACGAGGAACUCGAACUGUCCGACGAGAAGCAGUUUCCUGUACCAUACACGAAGAAGAAAAAUAGAUGAUGGAACUACAGUUGCCGUAGGACUACUUUGCUACUUAACAUAGAAAUGCCAAUAGCCAGAGGUGCACUGCUACCCUGUCAAUGCCGGUCACCAGAGACGCGCUUGUAUCCAUCAGAGAUGUGCUGGACCCCUUAUGUCAACAUAGUAAUCAACUGUUUUCAACAAGCACUGUUCGAUGGGCAAGGUAGAUUGUUUAUAGUGGAUCUCAAGCCUUGAUGGCAAACUGUCUGUAUUUGCCGUAUCGUGCUGAUGGUAGAGAGCUCUUCCCCACCUUGUGCACAUAACAGAAAAUCUUUG